UGCUCGAGUUCCGGCGGGUCGCGCCCAGGGCCACGCCCGGCUGCCCAUCGCGCGGGAGGGGUACCCAUUGGCAAGGUGGGAGAAUGCGGCGAGGCCGGCGCGGGAGAGCGCGGGCAGCCAUUGUGGCGUGCUCCCGCACCGCCUACGUGGAGUUCGCCGCUGGGGCGGUGAGAGGAGAGCCGCUGCUCUGUGGACUCCUGGAACCUCGGCGGGAUGCUUUUUAGGGAGGAAGCCGAGCGUGCGUCUCGUCCAGCGCCGCGGACGAAUCGUGCCACAAUAAUUCCGUACAAAAUGUAUCGAUGUUUAAUUCUCAGGAUCAACUGAAAAACCUUGAGAAGAUAGAGGUAAAAUAUUGCCUCCCCUACAAUUCCUGGUGACAAUGAUGGGAUGUCAGUGACUGUAACACUAAGAGAUCCUGGGACAUCUGACAACCAGCAGAAGAUGGGGUCAGAGUCAAGUAAACCAUAUGGAAUGGACGCUUCACAGGAAAGAAGGUUCCUUUAUUAAAGAAGAGGGAAGACAAUGGGGGACUGCACCUACAGAUCAAAUCUCCACGCCACCACCAGCCCAAGUCCCCCUUGUCUCUCCCCGGCAAGAUCUCCUCACUGGCCUCUCAGGUCCUGGCUGCUGCAUGCUUCCCAUCAUUCACCAUACAGCAAGCUGA
Molecule: long non-coding RNA, 664 nt
Organism: Ailuropoda melanoleuca (giant panda)
Lineage: Eukaryota; Metazoa; Chordata; Mammalia; Carnivora; Ursidae
Exons: 4
Source: RefSeq, a predicted model, not a curated record